This 499-nucleotide ribosomal RNA is filed under the name uncultured bacterium. Its description in RNAcentral is "bacterial SSU rRNA". It matches the Rfam family "Bacterial small subunit ribosomal RNA", at positions 55 to 527 of the family's 1533-position model. The record is from RNAcentral.
AUGCAGUCGCACGAGAACGCUUCAGCUUGCUGAAGUUAGUAAAGUGGCGCACGGGUGAGUAACGCGUGGGUAAUCUACCCCCCGAAUUGGGGAUAACAUCGCGAAAGCGAUGCUAAUACCGAAUGAUAUCUUGAAAACUCUGUUUUCUGGAUCAAAGAUGGCCUCUACAUGUAAGCUAUUGUUUGGGGAUGAGCCCGCGUACCAUUAGCUUGUUGGUAGGGUAAUGGCCUACCAAGGCAACGAUGGUUAGCUGGUCUGAGAGGAUGAUCAGCCACACUGGAACUGACACACGGUCCAGACUCCUACGGGAGGCAGCAGUGAGGAAUUUUGCGCAAUGGGGGAAACCCUGACGCAGCAACGCCGCGUGAGUGAUGAAGGCUUUCGGGUCGUAAAGCUCUGUCAAGUGGGAAGAAACCAUAUGGUGUUAAUAUCGCCAUAUGCUGACGGUACCAUUGAAGGAAGCACCGGCUAACUCCGUGCCAGCAGCCGCGGUAAUACG